Perognathus longimembris pacificus (Pacific pocket mouse) is the source of this 1608-nucleotide long non-coding RNA. RefSeq lists it as uncharacterized. The record is from RefSeq and is a predicted model, not a curated record. The transcript has 3 exons. NCBI's taxonomy places the organism in Eukaryota, Metazoa, Chordata, Mammalia, Rodentia, Heteromyidae.
UCCUCUGUCUUCUUGUCAGAGAUUCUAUUGUAAGGGGAAAAGGAAAACCCACUAGAAACAAACAAGAACAGAGGACGUAGCAGCUAGAGCGGCAGAUGGGACAGUGUCCUUUACUGGAUACCUGUCCUUCUUUUGAAUAGUACUCCUACAAAAAUACAAAAAGAAUAUUUUACUCUAUAUGUAGUGUGGCAGUCAUCUUUAAAAUCAAAUUCAAGUAUUGCUUUAAGGACGGUAGUUCUCAGAUACAUUAGCUGAAGUAGAGGAGCAUAGAGCUUUGGAUUAGGUUUGGUGCAGUCGUUACUAGCACUUCAACAUGUGUUCUUGUUUUGGGUUUGUUGUUGUUUUUUAAGACAGGAUCUCUGUAUUCAAGAUGUCCUCAAAUUCACAAUCCUCCCUCAGCAUGCCGAGAGAGCAGGCAUAUACCACCAUUUUUGGCCUCGAGAUGUGCUGUUAAAGUGACCAAUACAUAUCCUCAUGUUCAAUGUCAGCUCUGAAGUCUCCAGUCCAGAAACAGAAGGCCAUUCCACCUGCCCAACUCCCACAUUAGACCACUUCUGCAUGUAAAUAGAGAGCUGAAGGGUUAAGUUACACCAGAUGAUAAAAUCCUUACGUAGCCUUAGGACAACGUUCAGCUGACAGAAAUGUUAUUGUAUGUUCUCUCUUGAAAGCUUUAAGAUAUGCUUGGGUUAAUUAGAUUUCCAAAUAUGCAAAUAUGCCUUAGUGAGAUUUUCAGAAAUGCUCUAUUUUAAAAUUAUGUAGACUGGCAUUAGUGUUCAAAAUACUGAAUUGUAAGACUAUGCCUGAAUAGCUUACUAACAUAUCAUGUAAAUUCAUAAUUGAUCAAACCCAUUUAUUCCCUACUGUCCACAUUAUACUGUUCAAAUUGGGUUAGAAAGUUUUAUGGAAAUUAGAUUCUCUAGCAUGCUUCAGGGGAAGAUCAAGGAGUAGUUUAAAUUACAGCAGAAGUUCUUCAAAAAAUGCCAGUUCACUUGUCUGGUAUCAGUGUUUUCAAUGGGCUCAGUUUUGGGAACAUGAACCUUCAAUAACCUGAGACUGUGGAUCUCCUGAAGGAAAUUAGAAGACAAACUUUGAUCUUAAGGGGAAAAAUAUUUUAGCAAGGGCAACUGAAAUGAUUUAGUUUUGUUCACCUACUUGUACCACUGAAGAAUUUGACAUUUCAACUUCUGAAUGUUUUUAGAUAUAUGAAAAAAAUGUCUCACUCAUUUGGAUGUUUUAUAUAAAUUAUUUUCCACUUAACUGAAAUGUUUUAGUGUCCAUUUAAAAAAUAUGUUUGGGAAAACCUUUCUAAAAUACAUCCUUUCAUCAGUGCUUGAUUAAAUGAUAUUUACUGAAGUCUAAAUCUGAGCUGGCGAUUUCUGAUGGCUAAGAUGUUCCUUGCUCCAGAAUCCAGUGGGGUAUGGAAAGCUAUUUAUCCAUGCUAGACCAUGACCUAUGGCACUGAUCAGAUUUUGUCUACUAAGAGUAAGACAAUGAGUAUUUUUAACUUUGUGAAGCUCCUCUCCUUUGCUAACCUCUAGCAAGCUCUGCACUGUUAAAGCAGCAGGGAUGGGGCUGGGAAUAUGGCCUAGUGGCAAGAGUGCUUGCCUC